RNAcentral lists this ribosomal RNA (253 nucleotides) under uncultured bacterium. RNAcentral describes it as "partial 16S ribosomal RNA". It matches the Rfam family "Bacterial small subunit ribosomal RNA", at positions 524 to 776 of the family's 1533-position model. The record is from RNAcentral.
UACGUAGGUGGCGAGCGUUGUCCGGAUUUACUGGGCGUAAAGAGCGCGCAGGCGGCUGGUCAAGUCCGAUGUGAAAGCUCCCGGCUUAACUGGGAAAUUGCAUCGGAAACUGAUCGGCUGGAAGGUGGGAGAGGGUAGCGGAAUUCCCGGUGUAGUGGUGAAAUGCGUAGAUAUCGGGAGGAACACCAGGGGCGAAAGCGGCUACCUGGCCCAUUCUUGACGCUGAGGCGCGAAAGCUAGGGGAGCAAACGGG